GACGGAGGAUGCAAGUGUUAUCCGGAAUCACUGGGCGUAAAGGGCGCGUAGGCGGCACUGUUAGUCAGGCGUGAAAGUCCUGGGCUCAACCUGGGAACUGCGCUUGAUACGGCAGAGCUAGAGGAUGGAAGAGGCUCGCGGAAUUCCCAGUGUAGAGGUGAAAUUCGUAGAUAUUGGGAAGAACACCGGUGGCGAAGGCGGCGAGCUGGUCCAUUACUGACGCUGAGGCGCGACAGCGUGGGGAGCAAACAGG
Molecule: ribosomal RNA, 253 nt
Filed under: uncultured bacterium
Lineage: Bacteria
Description: partial 16S ribosomal RNA
Rfam family: Bacterial small subunit ribosomal RNA
Source: RNAcentral